GCCUAACACAUGCAAGUCGAACGGUAACAGGAAGCAGCUUGCUGCUUCGCUGACGAGUGGCGGACGGGUGAGUAAUGUCUGGGAAACUGCCUGAUGGAGGGGGAUAACUACUGGAAACGGUAGCUAAUACCGCAUAACGUCGCAAGACCAAAGAGGGGGACCUUCGGGCCUCUUGCCAUCGGAUGUGCCCAGAUGGGAUUAGCUAGUAGGUGGGGUAACGGCUCACCUAGGCGACGAUCCCUAGCUGGUCUGAGAGGAUGACCAGCCACACUGGAACUGAGACACGGUCCAGACUCCUACGGGAGGCAGCAGUGGGGAAUAUUGCACAAUGGGCGCAAGCCUGAUGCAGCCAUGCCGCGUGUAUGAAGAAGGCCUUCGGGUUGUAAAGUACUUUCAGCGGGGAGGAAGGCGAUAAGGUUAAUAACCUUGUCGAUUGACGUUACCCGCAGAAGAAGCACCGGCUAACUCCGUGCCAGCAGCCGCGGUAAUACGGAGGGUGCAAGCGUUAAUCGGAAUUACUGGGCGUAAAGCGCACGCAGGCGGUCUGUCAAGUCGGAUGUGAAAUCCCCGGGCUCAACCUGGGAACUGCAUUCGAAACUGGCAGGCUAGAGUCUUGUAGAGGGGGGUAGAAUUCCAGGUGUAGCGGUGAAAUGCGUAGAGAUCUGGAGGAAUACCGGUGGCGAAGGCGGCCCCCUGACAAAGACUGACGCUCAGGUGCGAAA
RNAcentral lists this ribosomal RNA (722 nucleotides) under Enterobacter hormaechei. RNAcentral's name for it is "bacterial SSU rRNA". It matches the Rfam family "Bacterial small subunit ribosomal RNA", at positions 46 to 758 of the family's 1533-position model. Lineage: Bacteria; Pseudomonadati; Pseudomonadota; Gammaproteobacteria; Enterobacterales; Enterobacteriaceae. The record is from RNAcentral.